UACGUAGGCAGCAAGCGUUGUUCGGAAUUACUGGGCGUAAAGCGUGCGUAGGCGGUGCCUCAAGUUUGGUGUGAAAUCUCCCGGCUCAGCCGGGAGGGUGCGCCGAAAACUGAGGUGCUCGAGUGUGGGAGAGGUAGGCGGAAUUCCUGGUGUAGCGGUGAAAUGCGUAGAUAUCAGGAGGAACACCGGCGGUGUAGACGGCUUACUGGACCAUAACUGACGCUGAGGCACGAAAGUGUGGGGAGCAAACAGG
Molecule: ribosomal RNA, 253 nt
Filed under: uncultured bacterium
Lineage: Bacteria
Description: partial 16S ribosomal RNA
Rfam family: Bacterial small subunit ribosomal RNA
Source: RNAcentral